Molecule: long non-coding RNA, 407 nt
Organism: Amblyraja radiata (thorny skate)
Lineage: Eukaryota; Metazoa; Chordata; Chondrichthyes; Rajiformes; Rajidae
Exons: 3
Source: RefSeq, a predicted model, not a curated record
UGAAACUCAACAUGGCUCUCUUAGUCCUGAAUGUGAGUGACCUGCAUCUCUGACCUGAGGGUAGAAGACUGUAUUGGCUGUGCAGUGAGUGAGUGGUGUCUGAGGCUAUUUGUGUUCCUUUUAGUUUAGUCCUUCUAUUGUAAAUACUGAUCAGUGGUUCCUGCUCCAGUCCGAUUAUUUUACUGCUCAUUGAUAUGAUUUGUUUAGUGGGUUGCGAUGGAUGUUGGAUAGUGACCCAAACCAGGCUGACAUAUUGAAGGUUAUUACUGAUUCAAUGAAACAUUUGUAAAAAGCUGUCGGGACUGACAGGUGAACCUGAAGUCUGCGGAGUUUCCUCAGGAAAAAGAGGCGCUGCUGACACUUAGAAAAUAUAGUUUCACUGUUUAGUUGGAAGCGAAAAGGAAUGG